UCCGCCAUCCCUCCAGACGGGGAGGAGUGACGAAAAUAACAAUACGGGACUCUUUCGAGGCCUCGUAAUUGGAAUGAGUACACUUCAAACCCUUUAACGAGGAUCUAUUGGAGGGCAAGUCUGGUGCCAGCAGCCGCGGUAAUUCCAGCUCCAAUAGCGUAUAUUAAAGUUGUUGCAGUUAAAAAGCUCGUAGUUGGAUCUCGGGUUUGGGCGGGCGGUCCGCCUCGCGGCGGUUACUGCACGACCCGACCUA
Molecule: ribosomal RNA, 253 nt
Filed under: Neritidae environmental sample
Lineage: Eukaryota; Metazoa; Mollusca; Gastropoda; Cycloneritida; Neritidae
Description: partial 18S ribosomal RNA
Rfam family: Eukaryotic small subunit ribosomal RNA
Source: RNAcentral